AAUGGGCGAGAGCCUGAACCAGCCAUGCCGCGUGCAGGAAGACGGCCCUAUGGGUUGUAAACUGCUUUUGUUUGGGAAUAAAAGGCCCUACGUGUAGGGCACUGAAGGUACCAGAUGAAUAAGCAUCGGCUAACUCCGUGCCAGCAGCCGCGGUAAUACGGAGGAUGCGAGCGUUAUCCGGAUUUAUUAGGUUUAAAGGGUGUGUAGGCGGAAGGCUAAGUCAGUGGUGAAAUCUCACAGCUCAACUGUGAAACUGCCAUAGAUACUGGUUUUCUUGAGUACAGUUGAAGUAGGCGGAAUGUGUAAUGUAGCGGUGAAAUGCUUAGAUAUUACACAGAACACCGAUUGCGAAGGCAGCUUGCUAAGCUGUUACUGACGCUGAUGCACGAAAGCGUGGGUAGCGAA
This 405-nucleotide ribosomal RNA is filed under the name uncultured bacterium. RNAcentral's name for it is "bacterial SSU rRNA". It matches the Rfam family "Bacterial small subunit ribosomal RNA", at positions 370 to 772 of the family's 1533-position model. The record is from RNAcentral.